Molecule: long non-coding RNA, 692 nt
Organism: Daphnia magna
Lineage: Eukaryota; Metazoa; Arthropoda; Branchiopoda; Diplostraca; Daphniidae
Exons: 2
Source: RefSeq, a predicted model, not a curated record
GUAGAGAUACCUGCCAGCAAAUCAACUGUACUACGUGGCCAUGAAUCUGAAGUUUUCAUCUGCGCCUGAACCCAACAACUGAUUUAUUGGCUUCCCGCUCAGAUUGGGAACCUGAAUGCUAUUCAGAUGACGCCAUCUUCAUGACGCUAUUGAACCACGCUACUGACGCCACUAUCACCGAUAGAUGGAAAUCUUCAAAACCACAUUUGGUAUUCAACUAUAAUAGAAAUUUUCUUUUCGUGCUGUAUAUUUCUUUCUUCUUUAUCAAUUAAAAAAAACCAAAAACGAUCAAUUUCGCCAGGGUAGUUCCACACCGCUUUAUGCUGUUGAGCUAUUAAUUUUUUUAAAAUAUUUUGUAAAUUAAAUUCUAUUCCGACAUGGCCGAGAUUCGAACACCGGCACUUGAGAUUAUUACCCCGAGUUGCUAACCACUAGACCACCCGUUGACAUGUACGGAGAAGGGAAAACAUGGGAGUGUAUGGUAUGGCCCAGGUAAACCCCCCUUCACUCACCCCUCUCCCAUGAGUGCGUGCAGCCUCCCCCGCUCGACCACCCUUCUGGCCGGCUUGAGCAGCACCUCGCGUCAGCCCCAUAAAACAAGAAACUUAAAAGUGAUAUGCGUUUGUUGCUUUAAAAAACAUGAAAUUGUUAUGGAUAUGUUUGAAAUCAAUCCGUAAGAUUUAUAAGAUUUA